Long non-coding RNA from Salvia miltiorrhiza (redroot sage), 423 nucleotides. RefSeq lists it as uncharacterized. NCBI's taxonomy places the organism in Eukaryota, Viridiplantae, Streptophyta, Magnoliopsida, Lamiales, Lamiaceae. The transcript has 2 exons. The record is from RefSeq and is a predicted model, not a curated record.
CGCCUGGCCGUGGAAGAGCACGGCCGCCGCCUGCCCGCCCUGAUUCUCUCUCUCGGUUUCUAGAUCUCUAGAUCGGAACAGGGCAUGCGCCCUCUCUGCCGGAGUCCAAGCCAGGCCGCCGUCUCUUCGUCCUCCAUCGCUGCCGUUCGUCGUCGGAUUCGCUGUGAGGAGCCGAGCACCGUCUCACAAAGAUCGGAGACAACGGCAGGUUCACCGCCGCCGCUCCGUCGCCGGCGACGAGCCACCGCGGCUGCCGCCUCCCUCUGAUUUCGACUCACACACACAGUAGGUUCAAGCCACAAUUUAGUUCACAAAAUAGCAUAGGAUUUUGAGCAGAAAUCAAAUACUGUAAAUGCUUAUUGAAAUCUGAAAUUCUUUUCUUGAAACUGAACUAGUCUAUAAAUUUCAGUUCAUAUGUGCAUA